GUUGGGAGCUCUCCCAUAUGGUCGACCUGCAGGCGGCCGCGAAUUCACUAGUGAUUAGAGUUUGAUCAUGGCUCAGAACGAACGCUGGCGGCAUGCCUAACACAUGCAAGUCGAACGAGAUCUUCGGGUCUAGUGGCGCACGGGUGCGUAACGCGUGGGAAUCUGCCCCUUGGUUCGGAAUAACCAUUGGAAACGAUGGCUAAUACCGGAUGAUGACGUUAAGUCCAAAGAUUUAUCGCCUGAGGAUGAGCCCGCGUAGGAUUAGCUAGUUGGUGUGGUAAAGGCGCACCAAGGCGACGAUCCUUAGCUGGUCUGAGAGGAUGAUCAGCCACACUGGGACUGAGACACGGCCCAGACUCCUACGGGAGGCAGCAGUGGGGAAUAUUGGACAAUGGGCGCAAGCCUGAUCCAGCAAUGCCGCGUGAGUGAUGAAGGCCUUAGGGUUGUAAAGCUCUUUUACCCGGGAUGAUAAUGACAGUACCGGGAGAAUAAGCUCCGGCUAACUCCGUGCCAGCAGCCGCGGUAAUACGAAUCGAAUUCCCGCGGCCGCCAUGGCG
Molecule: ribosomal RNA, 557 nt
Filed under: uncultured Alphaproteobacteria bacterium
Lineage: Bacteria; Pseudomonadati; Pseudomonadota; Alphaproteobacteria
Description: bacterial SSU rRNA
Rfam family: Bacterial small subunit ribosomal RNA
Source: RNAcentral